GCAUGAAGUCGGAAUUGCUAGUAACCGCGGAUCAGCAUGCCGCGGUGAAUACGUUCCCGGGCCUUGUACACACCGCCCGUCACACCAUGGGAGCCGGUAAUACCCGAAGUCAGUAGUCCAACCUCGUGAGGACGCUGCCGAAGGUAGGAUUGGCGACUGGGGUGAAGUCGUAACAAGGUACC
RNAcentral lists this ribosomal RNA (182 nucleotides) under uncultured bacterium. RNAcentral's name for it is "partial 16S ribosomal RNA". It matches the Rfam family "Bacterial small subunit ribosomal RNA", at positions 1318 to 1500 of the family's 1533-position model. The record is from RNAcentral.